AUACGUAGGGGGCAAGCGUUAUCCGGAAUCACUGGGCGUAAAGGGUGCGUAGGCGGUUUGACAAGCCAGAGGUGAAAGGCAUUGGCUCAACCAAUGUAAGCCUUUGGAACUGAUAGGCUUGAGUGCAGGAGAGGUAAGUGGAAUUCCUAGUGUAGAGGUGAAAUUCGUAGAUAUUAGGAGGAACACCAGUGGCGAAGGCGACUUACUGGACUGUAACUGACACUGAGGCACGAAAGCGUGGGUAGC
RNAcentral lists this ribosomal RNA (246 nucleotides) under uncultured bacterium. RNAcentral describes it as "partial 16S ribosomal RNA". It matches the Rfam family "Bacterial small subunit ribosomal RNA", at positions 523 to 769 of the family's 1533-position model. The record is from RNAcentral.